GGCGGCGCUGCCGUAGCGGGGAAGGGACGGAGCGCCGCGCGGAGGCUGUUGGGGCUGCGGGAGCGGCUGCGCCGUGCGCGGCAGCCCGCGGAGAUUAUAGAAACACUUAAGGUACUACAAGGUUUGGAUUUAUCACUGGAUAUUUUAGUGGAAACUGGCAUAGACAAAACAGUUAAAAGUUUUAGGGAGCAUGCCACUGCUGGGAAUGUAGCUAAGAGUCUGUUAAAACAAUGGAAAAAGCUAAUUUCUCCAGAAAGUAAAAGAAAUCACAGGGGAAGAAAAAAUAAUGGAAAAGAAAAACAUGAGAUUAAAUCAUCUGUUUCCAAGGAGAUUAAGCCUUCAGAGAAGCCUGAAACAUCUGUACCGGCCUUUACGAGUUCCAGCAGUGCUCCCAUUACUACAAAGCUGAAUAAGGAGCAUAUUUAUAGUGAAAAGACCCAUCAAAGUACAAAUUCUGAGUCUCCAAAAGAAUGUGAUAAUAAAGUGUGUAGCAGCAGUGGUUCUAAGCAUGCUUCCCAGGGUACCAAUUCUCAGGCUAAAGAAAGUGAGUUCAAAGAGAGCACCUCCACAGAAAGCAAGAAAUUUUCCAAAAAGCAGCAUUCCUCUGCAGCCAAUGAAGGCUUAUUGUCCCUGAAAGAAAAGCCUAGUAAGGAUGCUUCCAAACAGAGAAAUCCUAAAUGUGUGAAGAAACCAAAACAAAAUCUUGUCAUGAAAGACCAAGCCAAAUCAUCUAGUGAUGAGGAAUUUGAACCCCCUACUAUGUCUUUUGAAUCUUAUCUUACUUAUGAUGAGGCUACCAACAGAAGAAAGAGAAAAGCUUGUUCUACAGGUGCACGGCCAAAAAAGUGCAGUGAAGAGAAGAACAGCUCAUUACUACAAAAGACUUCAAAACUUUCUCAGGC
RNAcentral lists this long non-coding RNA (902 nucleotides) under Serinus canaria (Common canary). Its description in RNAcentral is "lncRNA (ENSSCAG00000011257.1)". The record is from RNAcentral. Lineage: Eukaryota; Metazoa; Chordata; Aves; Passeriformes; Fringillidae.